GGCGGCAAGCCUAACACAUGCAAGUCGAACGGACAAUUAUUUAUAGCCUCUGGCUAUAGGAAAUUGUUAGUGGCAGACGGGUGAGUAAUGCGUAGGAAUCUACCUAGUAGUACGGAAUAGCCAUUAGAAAUGGUGGGUAAUACUGUAUAAUCCCCGAGGGGGAAAGAUUUAUCGCUAUUAGAUGAGCCUACGUUAGAUUAGCUAGUUGGUGAGGUAAUGGCUUACCAAGGCUAUGAUCUAUAGCUGGUCUGAGAGGACGAUCAGCCACACUGGAACUGAGAUACGGUCCAGACUCCUACGGGAGGCAGCAGUGGGGAAUAUUGGACAAUGGGCGAAAGCCUGAUCCAGCUAUGCCGCGUGAGUGAAGAAGGCCUUCGGGUUGUAAAACUCUUUCAAUAGGGAAGAUAAUGACGGUACCUAUAGAAGAAGUCCCGGCAAACUCUGUGCCAGCAGC
Molecule: ribosomal RNA, 454 nt
Filed under: Ehrlichia canis
Lineage: Bacteria; Pseudomonadati; Pseudomonadota; Alphaproteobacteria; Rickettsiales; Anaplasmataceae
Description: bacterial SSU rRNA
Rfam family: Bacterial small subunit ribosomal RNA
Source: RNAcentral